AGCUUGCUCCCUGAUGUUAGCGGCGGACGGGUGAGUAACACGUGGGUAACCUGCCUGUAAGACUGGGAUAACUCCGGGAAACCGGGGCUAAUACCGGAUGCUUGUUUGAACCGCAUGGUUCAAACAUAAAAGGUGGCUUCGGCUACCACUUACAGAUGGACCCGCGGCGCAUUAGCUAGUUGGUGAGGUAAUGGCUCACCAAGGCAACGAUGCGUAGCCGACCUGAGAGGGUGAUCGGCCACACUGGGACUGAGACACGGCCCAGACUCCUACGGGAGGCAGCAGUAGGGAAUCUUCCGCAAUGGACGAAAGUCUGACGGAGCAACGCCGCGUGAGUGAUGAAGGUUUUCGGAUCGUAAAGCUCUGUUGUUAGGGAAGAACAAGUGCCGUUCGAAUAGGGCGGCACCUUGACGGUACCUAACCAGAAAGCCACGGCUAACUACGUGCCAGCAGCCGCGGUAAUACGUAGGUGGCAAGCGUUGUCCGGAAUUAUUGGGCGUAAAGGGCUCGCAGGCGGUUUCUUAAGUCUGAUGUGAAAGCCCCCGGCUCAACCGGGGAGGGUCAUUGGAAACUGGGGAACUUGAGUGCAGAAGAGGAGAGUGGAAUUCCACGUGUAGCGGUGAAAUGCGUAGAGAUGUGGAGGAACACCAGUGGCGAAGGCGACUCUCUGGUCUGUAACUGACGCUGAGGAGCGAAAGCGUGGGGAGCGAACAGGAUUAGAUACCCUGGUAGUCCACGCCGUAAACGAUGAGUGCUAAGUGUUAGGGGGUUUCCGCCCCUUAAUGCUGCAGCUAACGCAUUAAGCACUCCGCCUGGGGAGUACGGUCGCAAGACUGAAACUCAAAAGAAUUGACGGGGGCCCGCACAAGCGGUGGAGCAUGUGGUGUAAUUCGAAGCAACACGAAAAACCUUACCAGGUCUUGACAUCCUCUGACAAUCCUAGAGAUAGGACGUCCCCUUCGGGGGCAGAGUGACAGGUGGUGCAUGGUUGUCGUCAGCUCGUGUCGUGAGAUGUUGGGUUAAGUCCCGCAACGAGCGCAACCCUUGAUCUUAGUUGCCAGCAUUCAGUUGGGCACUCUAAGGUGACUGCCGGUGACAAACCGGAGGAAGGUGGGGAUGACGUCAAAUCAUCAUGCCCCUUAUGACCUGGGCUACACACGUGCUACAAUGGACAGAACAAAGGGCAGCGAAACCGCGAGGUUAAGCCAAUCCCACAAAUCUGUUCUCAGUUCGGAUCGCAGUCUGCAACUCGACUGCGUGAAGCUGGAAUCGCUAGUAAUCGCGGAUCAGCAUGCCGCGGUGAAUACGUUCCCGGGCCUUGUACACACCGCCCGUCACACCACGAGAGUUUGUAACACCCGAAGUCGGUGAG
RNAcentral lists this ribosomal RNA (1372 nucleotides) under Bacillus sp. (in: firmicutes). RNAcentral's name for it is "bacterial SSU rRNA". It matches the Rfam family "Bacterial small subunit ribosomal RNA", at positions 77 to 1434 of the family's 1533-position model. Lineage: Bacteria; Bacillati; Bacillota; Bacilli; Caryophanales; Bacillaceae. The record is from RNAcentral.